RNAcentral lists this transfer RNA (65 nucleotides) under Toxeutes macleayi. RNAcentral describes it as "tRNA-Asn". Lineage: Eukaryota; Metazoa; Arthropoda; Insecta; Coleoptera; Cerambycidae. The record is from RNAcentral.
UUAGCCGAAGCCAAAUAGAGGCUUACCACCGUUAAUGGUACUAUUGAGUGAAUUCUCCGACUAAG